GCAUUAAUGGGGUAGUGGUAACCUGGGUCGUUGCCAUCUCAGGCACUGAAUUCUACAACUCGACCCGCCGGGGGUUCGAUUCCCUCUUAAUGCA
Molecule: non-coding RNA, 94 nt
Organism: Tephrocybe sp. NHM501043
Lineage: Eukaryota; Fungi; Basidiomycota; Agaricomycetes; Agaricales; Lyophyllaceae
Source: the annotation of a GenBank genome assembly